Molecule: long non-coding RNA, 625 nt
Organism: Macadamia integrifolia
Lineage: Eukaryota; Viridiplantae; Streptophyta; Magnoliopsida; Proteales; Proteaceae
Exons: 3
Source: RefSeq, a predicted model, not a curated record
GAAGAAGAGGAAGAAGAAGAAGGAGAAGAGAAGAGGAGAAGAAGAGGAAGGAGGAAGGAGCUGCUGUCCGAAUGCUCCUGCUGCCCUAUGGUUCUCUGCUGCUACAGAACAGAGAGAGAUGCAUGCAAGUGGGGCUGCAUCCACCUACUGUCCAUCUGAUGCUGAGCAACGAACUGCAAUCUGGGAUGAUUUCUGCUGAACCAUAGAAGAUACUGUUCCUAGUUUCUUUAUAGCUGUUGUACACACAUCUGAAGGUGUCUCCAGAGGCUUACGCUGAGAUUAGGAGGAUGCACCAGAGUUUAUGUGAGGUGGUGCUUGAUAAGGAAGGAGAGAACACUGCCUUAAGGAGCCAAGUCAACUCUUACUAACAAGAGAAUGCCCGACAGCACACGCAGAUUCGAGAUCUCACUAAGAGGUUGGUGAGCUCAGGAUCGGCACCUACUAGCUCUUCGAUGUUCCAUGAGGAUAAUGCCGAGUAUGGCUCAAACAAGGAUUUUGACUCUUAGGGAUCUGUUCUUGUAGUUCCUACAAACACAAGCAUAUGUAUGUCUAUUUUCCUUUUUCUUUUUCCCUCCCCAUGUUUGUUCCUCUUUCUUUUUUCUUUUUUAUUUCUUUUUUAUCAUUU